CUGGGGUUUGAAUCCCAGCAAAGGCGUAAAAGUUAUAUCAUUUCAUCCUCUAUCUGCCUAUUGAAGAAUUACUUACAUAUACUGGUGGGAGGAUAUAGUUACCAAGUGGGAUAGUCGAACUGCAUGUAAGUUGACCCAUUUAUCUGGUGAAACGACCUUACAGAGAGGAUCUGAUCUUCAUUUGUGUCUAAACUUUUCCUAAGUAAUCGUUUGUGUUUGUUGUCUACUUUUUACCUUCUGUUCAUUUUCUAUACCAUGUGACAUUGGU
Molecule: long non-coding RNA, 268 nt
Filed under: Capsicum annuum
Lineage: Eukaryota; Viridiplantae; Streptophyta; Magnoliopsida; Solanales; Solanaceae
Description: long non-coding RNA (CANN_LNC014135)
Source: RNAcentral